ACAGACUGGCCGCUCUUCCUCCUCUGCUCAAGUUCGCCUGCUCCGAUUUUGGGAGGCCAAGAACGUCUGGCGUGGUGGAGAGUUUAUGGGAGUCGACAUGCUCCUUCUUGAUUCUCAGGCGGCCACUAUCAGUGUCAACCGGCUAGAGACCCACCGGUGUAACAGAGUUUGAACGUUGUAUGAUUCCUCUAUGUCACCAAAUUGCUCAGUGCUUGAGCAGCUCUCACUUUCAGGUAGCGGAACGGGCUCUAUAUUCAUGGAACAAAAUCAUGUUAGUGACUUGGUGAGACAUAACAGCGGAAUCAAUCUACCGAUAGCGUUUCCAGCUUUGGAGAAAAAACGGUAGUAGCCAUUGGAACCAGGCUGUGAAGAACUUGACAGAGAAUGUGCUCAAGGUUUUGUAUGAUACAAAUCCAAAGUUGUUUAAAGAAUGUUUGUGCAAGUUUCAAGAGGAUCAGCUAAAUGCAGAGGAUAACAAGAAGAAGAAUGGAGAAACAUGGAGACAGCUAGAGGAGAUUGUUGCUUCAAUGGCGAAGUAAAGAGUUUUAUAUUCUGCACUUUUCACGCUAUACAAAAGAAAAGAAGAAAAUUGGUUUAUGUUUUGUUUUUCUUACGCCUGAAAGGUAUAUACAGUUUUUACUUUUUGCUUUGCUUGGUUCAAGUCUAUUGUUUGUACUCUUUCAGUUCUUGAUUUUGUGUGUCUGUUUACUUAUCUGUUCAUGUAAACCAUCUUCGUAAGAAAGAGAUGACUCUUGCUCGGUUUUUCAACAGAAAA
Raphanus sativus (radish) is the source of this 775-nucleotide long non-coding RNA. RefSeq lists it as uncharacterized. Lineage: Eukaryota; Viridiplantae; Streptophyta; Magnoliopsida; Brassicales; Brassicaceae. The record is from RefSeq and is a predicted model, not a curated record. The transcript has 3 exons.